RNAcentral lists this ribosomal RNA (195 nucleotides) under Lacconectus sabahensis. RNAcentral describes it as "partial 18S ribosomal RNA". It matches the Rfam family "Eukaryotic small subunit ribosomal RNA", at positions 181 to 350 of the family's 1831-position model. Lineage: Eukaryota; Metazoa; Arthropoda; Insecta; Coleoptera; Dytiscidae. The record is from RNAcentral.
UCCCGACCGGAGACGGGAGGAAUGCUUUUAUUAGAUCAAAACCAAUCGGCGGCGUGCGCGUUCGCGCGCCCGUUCGCCGCUCAACCUGGUGACUCUGAAUAACUUUCGGCUGAUCGCACGGUCCAGCACCGGCGACGCAUCUUUCAAAUGUCUGCCUUAUCAACUGUCGAUGGUAGGUUCUGCGCCUACCAUGGU